RNAcentral lists this ribosomal RNA (517 nucleotides) under uncultured bacterium. RNAcentral describes it as "bacterial SSU rRNA". It matches the Rfam family "Bacterial small subunit ribosomal RNA", at positions 62 to 552 of the family's 1533-position model. The record is from RNAcentral.
UCGAACGAGAAACUCCGAGCUUGCUCGGAGAAGUAAAGUGGCGCACGGGUGAGUAACGCGUGAGUAACCUGUCCUUAAAUUUGGGAUAAUCCAUCGAAAGGUGGUCUAAUACCAAAUGCAGUCCCAAGAAUCACGGUUCUAGAGAUGAAAGCUGACCUCUUCAUGAAAGUUGGUGUUUAAGGAGGGGCUCGCGUACCAUUAGCUUGUUGGUGGGGUAAUGGCCUACCAAGGCUACGAUGGUUAGCUGGUCUGAGAAGAUGAUCAGCCACACUGGAACUGAAACACGGUCCAGACUCCUACGGGAGGCAGCAGUGAGGAAUCUUGCGCAAUGGGGGAAACCCUGACGCAGCGACGCCGUGUGAGUGAAGAAGGCCUUCGGGUCGUAAAGCUCUGUCAAGUGGGAAUAAAAUUGCGCGGUAAAUAGCCGUGGAAUCUGAAGGUACCACUAAAGGAAGCACCGGCUAACUCCGUGCCAGCAGCCGCGGUAAUACGGAGGGUGCUAGCGUUAUUCGGAUUU